AUUGAACGCUGGCGGCAGGCCUAACACAUGCAAGUCGAACGAGUGGCGGACGGGUGAGUAAUGUCUGGGAAACUGCCUGCUGGAGGGGGAUAACUACUGGAUACGGUAGCUAAUAACGCAUACCAUCAGAUGUGCCCAGAUGGGAUUCGCUUGUUGGUGGGGUAACGGCUCACCAGGGCGACGAUCCCUAGCUGGGCUGAGGGGAUGACCAGCCACACUGUAACUGAGACACGGUCCAGACUCCGAGGGGAGGCAGCAGUGGGGAAGAUUGCACUAUGGGCGCAAGCCUGAAGCAGCCAUGCCGCGUGUAUGAGGAAGGCCUUCGGGUUGUAAAGUGCUUUCAGCGGGGAGGCGUUACGCGCAGAAGAAGCACCGGCUAACUCCGUGCCAGCAGCCGCGGUAAUAC
RNAcentral lists this ribosomal RNA (406 nucleotides) under uncultured bacterium. RNAcentral describes it as "partial 16S ribosomal RNA". It matches the Rfam family "Bacterial small subunit ribosomal RNA", at positions 30 to 526 of the family's 1533-position model. The record is from RNAcentral.